This 804-nucleotide long non-coding RNA is filed under the name Penaeus japonicus. RNAcentral's name for it is "uncharacterized LOC122260797". The record is from RNAcentral. Lineage: Eukaryota; Metazoa; Arthropoda; Malacostraca; Decapoda; Penaeidae.
CCUUUUAUUUUAGCUCCUCCCCUUCCUUUUAUAUUAGCUGCUCCCCUUCCUUUUCAGCUCCUCCCCUUUCUUGUUUUAGGCUCUCCCCUUUUUUUUCAGCCCCUCCUUUCCCUAUAGAACUCCUCCUGUCUUUAUUCCCCGUUUUUUUGCUCCUCCUUAUUUUUAUAACCUCCCCCUUCCCUUCCCUACUCUUGCGUAUUUAAAGGGUAUCUCGAAUCUCAUUGAUCAUGUUGCGUUCGACGACUUGAAAGAAAAGACUGAAAAUGAGGUGGUUCAUUGUAAACUUUUUGUUUUUGUUGGCGUUGUUGGUGAUGACAGAAGCUCUACAACAGAGCAGAGGGGGAAGUGUGGGCCGCUUUCCACACCCUGCGAUCGGACCAUACAUGUUUCCCUGUGCGGCUUGGCCUUGUCGCUGUAAUCAUCUGGUCUCGCUUGACUUGAACCUGGAGGACUUGCUAACGCCGUAGAGGAAUUCUGGUUAUUGGCAACGUGAUGGUUGGGGCUUUGGUAGCUUUGCAAUAUGCGGUGUACUUAUUUGUACUUAUUUUCUAUUGUAUCAGUGUGCCCGUGUCGCAGUAUCCGGUAUAGUUGAUUUUUGGGAGUCUGGUAUACUUGUAAAAAGCAAUUGCACACCUGCCAUUGGUUUCACUCAUGAAAUGAAGCUGAAGGCUGGAUUCUUGUGCAUUUGUAUUUUCUGUGAUGUGCAGUUCUCUGGCAAUAAAGUUUGAUUCGUAAUUUUUAGGGAAUUUGGAAAUACUGGGGUAUUGCCAUAUCUUCAAUUGAUAAUGACGAUAAUAAUGAAAA